Molecule: ribosomal RNA, 153 nt
Filed under: uncultured bacterium
Lineage: Bacteria
Description: partial 16S ribosomal RNA
Rfam family: Bacterial small subunit ribosomal RNA
Source: RNAcentral
UGAGGAAUAUUGGACAAUGGGUGAGAGCCUGAUCCAGCCAUCCCGCGUGAAGGACGACGGCCCUAUGGGUUGUAAACUUCUUUUGUACAGGGAUAAACCUUUCUACGUGUAGAAAGCUGAAGGUACUGUACGAAUAAGCACCGGCUAAUCCCG